Molecule: ribosomal RNA, 497 nt
Filed under: uncultured bacterium
Lineage: Bacteria
Description: partial 16S ribosomal RNA
Rfam family: Bacterial small subunit ribosomal RNA
Source: RNAcentral
GAUGAACGCUGGCGGCGUGCCUAAUACAUGCAAGUCGAGCGAACGGACGAGAAGCUUGCUUCUCUGAUGUUAGCGGCGGACGGGUGAGUAACAUGUGGAUAACCUACCUAUAAGACUGGGAUAACUUCGGGAAACCGGAGCUAAUACCGGAUAAUAGUUUGAACCGCAUGGUUCAAAAGUGAAAGACGGUCUUGCUGUCACUUAUAGAUGGAUCCGCGCUGCAUUAGCUAGUUGGUAAGGUAACGGCUUACCAAGGCAACGAUGCAUAGCCGACCUGAGAGGGUGAUCGGCCACACUGGAACUGGAACACGGUCCAGGCUCCUACGGGAGGCAGCAGUAGGGAAUCUUCCGCAAUGGGCGAAAGCCUGACGGAGCAACGCCGCGUGGGUGAUGGAGGUCUUCGGAUCGUAAAACUCUGUUAUUAGGGAAAAACAUAUGUGUAAGUAACUGUUCACAUCUUGACGGUACCUAAUCAGAAAGCCACGGCUAACUACGUG